RNAcentral lists this long non-coding RNA (963 nucleotides) under Triticum aestivum (bread wheat). Its description in RNAcentral is "long non-coding RNA (TAES_LNC011582)". Lineage: Eukaryota; Viridiplantae; Streptophyta; Magnoliopsida; Poales; Poaceae. The record is from RNAcentral.
CCUUUUCUUGUGCCUUUGUUUCUGUUUUCUUUUGAGACAUUCCAAUUCCAUUACGAAGGUCCUAUGGGCCCUGAAUCAGGCCGCGAUGUGGGGGUGGUUUUUGUGUUCAGUCUUCCUUACAUUCAAGUUUUUAUUUUUUGGGAACAAACGGCGUGAUGGUCGGUGGGUGCUUUUUCUGGACUCCGGCAGGAGCAGGGACGAGGAGUAAUUUUUUUGGGUGAGAGAAACACACUACCUUUUGUUACACUAGCAAAACUCGCCUUCACAAUGCUCUUUUUGUUCAUAACGGAUUAGUUAGGAGUACUAUUUGAAUCAAGGUGGUGUGCCCCUAUGCUUGCAGCUGCAUUCACGUGAUAUUUCAAGUCAAAAGGCAUCCAACGCGCUGCUCGCGCCAGUGACCUAGGUCUCCCGCCGCAGGUGCCUCCCUGCGCGUCACAGACCAUAUUUUCGAUCGCCUCCCCAUGCCGUUUCUAGACACGCAAAAUACCAAUAUGGCAGUCAGCAGUAAAGCACAAUACCACACCCUUCACUUUCGCCACACUCACGCAUGUACGGGCUCAGCUUGGGAUCAAGCCAACGCCAGAGAGGACGGCGGCAACCCUGCAUCCAUUACAAAAAUACCGUCACCGUCGUCCAUUAACCAAGCCUUGCGGGAAAAGAUGAACAGCUUCUCACCAUCGCCCGUGAGCAAGACAGGUAUCUCCGGCCGGGAUUAGCGUCUUUUCACGAAGUCAGGCGAGCAGCCUUCGCACAGCAGCUGCAAAAAAACAGCUGGCACGUUUCCGGCAGGUUCCCUGAGUAUCAACUAAACUCCCAGCUAGCUUCCUCCUCACAGAUCAAUGGAGCAGAGGCAGAGCAAGUGCUCUUGCGGUUCUAGCACAGGAAGAAUAGACUAGCGUUUGCAGUCACACAUACACUGGUGUUGCUCACGUACACAGAACUAGAGGCUUUUAUUGAUUGGAG